This 802-nucleotide ribosomal RNA is filed under the name uncultured bacterium. RNAcentral's name for it is "bacterial SSU rRNA". It matches the Rfam family "Bacterial small subunit ribosomal RNA", at positions 8 to 796 of the family's 1533-position model. The record is from RNAcentral.
AGAGUUUGAUCAUGGCUCAGGACGAACGCUGGCGGCGUGCUUAACACAUGCAAGUGGAGCGACGAACCAGGGCUUGCCCUGGGGCAGAGCCGCGAACGGGUGAGUAACACGUGGGUAACCUACCCCGAUGACCGGGACAACCCGAGGAAACUCGGGCUAAUACCGGAUGUGCUGAAUCCUCGUAAGGGGAUUUAGUAAAGAUAGCUUCGGCCUUCGCAUCGGGACGGGCCCGCGGCCCAUUAGCUUGUUGGUGAGGUAACGGCUCACCAAGGCUGCGAUGGGUAGCUGGUCUGAGAGGACGAUCAGCCACACUGGGACUGAGACACGGCCCAGACUCCUACGGGAGGCAGCAGUGGGGAAUCUUGCGCAAUGCGCGAAAGCGUGACGCAGCAACGCCGCGUGGGGGAAGAAGGCCUUCGGGUUGUAAACCCCUUUCAGUUGGGACGAAGCUUCGAGGGUUAAUAGCCCUCUGGAGUGACGGUACCUUCAGAAGAAGCCCCGGCUAACUACGUGCCAGCAGCCGCGGUAAUACGUAGGGGGCUAGCGUUGUCCGGAAUCAUUGGGCGUAAAGCGCGUGUAGGCGGUCCGGUAAGUCCGCUGUGAAAGUCGGGGGCUCAACCCUCGGAUGCCGGUGGAUACUGUCGGGCUUGAGUACGGAAGAGGCGAGUGGAAUUCCUGGUGUAGCGGUGAAAUGCGCAGAUAUCAGGAGGAACACCAAUUGCGAAGGCAGCUCGCUGGGACGUUACUGACGCUGAGACGCGAAAGCGUGGGGAGCAAACAGGAUUAGAUACCCUAGUAGUCC